Long non-coding RNA from Meriones unguiculatus (Mongolian gerbil), 1178 nucleotides. RefSeq lists it as uncharacterized. NCBI's taxonomy places the organism in Eukaryota, Metazoa, Chordata, Mammalia, Rodentia, Muridae. The transcript is spliced from 3 exons. The record is from RefSeq and is a predicted model, not a curated record.
UGGGCAGAGGCCGUUCUGUGCUUUCUGUGGAUGUUUGCAGCUGCUCACAGGAACUGGUCCUUGGUUCCCUGAAUGGAUGGCCCGAGAACAUAAGGGUCAGAGCAACUUGGGGAGGACAAGCCAUUCUUCUGCCACCAUGCAGAACCCUGACAGCCCUGACAAGCCUUUAAGUGGCAGUUCCGGGAGCUUGAAGACACAGCGCUCCCCAAGGACAGCAGGGAGGCUCUUUCCCAUGGUGCUCUGUGGACUGGGACGCCGGCAGGAAGAGAGAAGAAGCAAAGACGUGCUCUUGAAUUACUAUGAGAUGAAAACCAAGGACUCCUGAAAACACCUGGAGGACGUUUUGAGAGUCCAAAAUUCUUGGGAGCCGGUUGGAGCCCAAAUCCUUCAUCAUCUGGCAGCACAACUCAGGGAACAGCACCAUCCACAACAAGAAGGAUGCCCCCCACCGCUAACCCAAGACAGUCCCUCAGAGACCCAUCUCCCACGUGACUCCAGAUCUCAUCAAACCCACAACUGACAGUAACUGUCACAGAGGCCGGCUUGCAGCCUCAUGGUCCUAAGAUGACUGCUGACACGUGGGCAUCUGCAUCCAUGACUAAAGCCACAGACCUCCUCAUCGCCUGGACCACGCUGUCGCCACACUCCUCCCUCCUCCGCGCGGACAGGAGAGGUGAUUCAAGCCUGCUGCCUGAAUGUUUUGCACCUCCUUGGUGGAGAGGAAUUUAUGGGCUCAGUGGCGAGUCACCCCAUGAAUCAACAGCCGGCAGGGUGUAGGAAGACAAGGUCUGGCCGAGGCCCGCCUGAAUUUGCUUCAAGAGCAACUGACUCUGAGGCCUGCAGUAGGGAGAGGACCGGAUCUGGCCUCAAAAGGAGCCAAUCCCCGUUCUCACAGGCUUCUCAGUAGCCAGCCCUGCUUUGGUGAGAACCCCAACCUUACCCUCUUCAGUAUAGCACAGCCAUGUCCUUGGGCUGCAGUCUCCUGCCUCCCCUACCUGCCGCCUCAGAGAAAAGGCUAGCAAGAGCAAGGAGAGCCCCAUUCAGGGGGCCGAGAUGGAGCUGUGGCCAGUACCAUGUGCAACCUCACGCUAAAAGCAUCCCAGUAUUUUUGUCCUAACUGGAUUCUUGCCUCAUGUGUCCCCAAACAUGGGAGAGAGAGAGAAAAAAAAAACUGAGAA